Long non-coding RNA from Rosa chinensis, 689 nucleotides. RefSeq lists it as uncharacterized. The record is from RefSeq and is a predicted model, not a curated record. The transcript is spliced from 3 exons. NCBI's taxonomy places the organism in Eukaryota, Viridiplantae, Streptophyta, Magnoliopsida, Rosales, Rosaceae.
AUUUCGGAUCCUUCAAUUUCAGUGAAAACUUUUUCUCGAUAUGGGUUUGUGAUUCAAUUUCAGAGCCCGAUUUUGGUGUUUCAGGGUCCGGUUUUGAGUAGCAGCAGUGGGGUUUUGAGCUCUGCAAGAAGUCCUUCGAUGAGAAUUGCUUAUAGGUGCUGAGUUGCAGCACAAGAUUUUCUAUGAAGAAUUUGUUAUCAAGGCUUUCUACGAGGCUGAGAAAGCACACAGAGGGCAGGAUUGUGUUGAAACGGUGGUGUGCUCGCAUUGAUUGGCGAUAAUUAGAAAUUUGAGAAGGUGUGGAAUUUGGUUGAGAAUUUCAGUGUAGUGGAUGGUGGGAGCUUGUGAGGUGUGAAAGAGAGAGUUGGGUCACUGGGUGAGGAGGAGAGGAUCAAAAUUCAGACCCUAGUCGGAGAAAGAAAUCAGAAAUUAAAAAGGAACCAAUGUUUUUGGUGGCUCCGGUGAUCAUCAACAAUGCAUGAGGGAUUUUUCUAGCAGCUGUUAAGGAGGUUCUGGGCUUGUAUCUGGAGUUUUGGAGCGUGAUAACCACCUGGUUGGGCUUGUGAAUUCAAGUUAUACUAUGAAUCUUGAAUUAUGAAUUGAAUGGCUGAUUGUGAUUAUUGAUUUGGUUGCUGUCAAUCUUUCCAAGGUCGACGGCUAGAUCGGGGAGCCUCUUGGAGAGGCGGAGG